GAUGAAGAACGCAGCGAAAUGCGAUACGUAAUGUGAAUUGCAGAAUUCAGUGAAUCAUCGAGUCUUUGAACGCACAUUGCGCCCCCUGGUAUUCCGGGGGGCAUGCCUGUCCGAGCGUCAUUGCUGCCCUCAAGCACGGCAUGUGUGUUGGGCCUCCGUCCUCCUCCCGGGGGACGGGCCCGAAAGGCAGCGGCGGCACCGCGUCCGGUCCUCGAGCGUAUGGGGCUUCGUCACCCGCUCUUGUAGGCCCGGUCGGCGCUUGCCGACACAUCAAUCUUUUUUCCAGGUUGACCUCGGAUCAGGUAGGGAUACCCGCUGAACUUAAGCAUAUCAAUAAGCGGAGGA
RNAcentral lists this unclassified non-coding RNA (345 nucleotides) under soil metagenome. RNAcentral describes it as "partial contains 5.8S ribosomal RNA, internal transcribed spacer 2, and large subunit ribosomal RNA". The stretch from base 1 to 120 matches the Rfam family "5.8S ribosomal RNA", at positions 35 to 154 of the family's 154-position model. The record is from RNAcentral.